ACGCUGGCGGCAGGCUUAACACAUGCAAGUCGAACGAUGACUCUCUAGCUUGCUAGAGAUGAUUAGUGGCGGACGGGUGAGUAACAUUUAGGAAUCUACCUAGUAGUGGGGGAUAGCUCGGGGAAACUCGAAUUAAUACCGCAUACGACCUACGGGUGAAAGGGGGCGCAAGCUCUUGCUAUUAGAUGAGCCUAAAUCAGAUUAGCUAGUUGGUGGGGUAAAGGCCCACCAAGGCGACGAUCUGUAACUGGUCUGAGAGGAUGAUCAGUCACACCGGAACUGAGACACGGUCCGGACUCCUACGGGAGGCAGCAGUGGGGAAUAUUGGACAAUGGGGGCAACCCUGAUCCAGCCAUGCCGCGUGUGUGAAGAAGGCCUUUUGGUUGUAAAGCACUUUAAGCAGGGAGGAGAGGCUAAUGGUUAAUACCCAUUAGAUUAGACGUUACCUGCAGAAUAAGCACCGGCUAACUCUGUGCCAGCAGCCGCGGUAAUACAGAGGGUGCGAGCGUUAAUCGGAAUUACUGGGCGUAAAGCGAGUGUAGGUGGCUCAUUAAGUCACAUGUGAAAUCCCCGGGCUUAACCUGGGAACUGCAUGUGAUACUGGUGGUGCUAGAAUAUGUGAGAGGGAAGUAGAAUUCCAGGUGUAGCGGUGAAAUGCGUAGAGAUCUGGAGGAAUACCGAUGGCGAAGGCAGCUUCCUGGCAUAAUAUUGACACUGAGAUUCGAAAGCGUGGGUAGCAAACAGGAUUAGAUACCCUGGUAGUCCACGCCGUAAACGAUGUCUACUAGCCGUUGGGGUCC
This 800-nucleotide ribosomal RNA is filed under the name uncultured bacterium. Its description in RNAcentral is "bacterial SSU rRNA". It matches the Rfam family "Bacterial small subunit ribosomal RNA", at positions 33 to 831 of the family's 1533-position model. The record is from RNAcentral.